GUGACCAUGUAAUUUGAGCGGGAUUAUUUUUACUUUUAGGGCGCCAUAUAUUAUCUAUAAUUAACUCACAUAACUGGCCUCUUCCGUAAUUAGGGUUUUCCAUCAAAUGAAUCGAAGAACUGGAACUUUGCAGAAGUUGCUACUGCAGGAUUGAGGUGUUCAAGCAAGAGGGUUCAUAUUUGGUCCUCCUAUUGCAUUGGCUCUUGGCGAGAAAUUUGUUCCCAUCAGAAAACCCAACAGAUUGAAAAGUUGAACUUAGUUAUCAAGGAGCUCGUUAAGGAAAAAGAUGAAGAAAAAGAUGAAGAAAAAGAAACGUUCAAUGGAAUUAUUGCGGCGUUGUUGGCUGACAAAGAAAAAGAUAAGGGGGAUAAAGAUGCGUUGCUUGAUAGGAUGUCACAAAUUGAAGCUAUGUUAACAACUGCAGUUCGAAGAUAGGCUAUAAACACUUGGUUUUGAAUGUUUAUAUGUUUAAUCUUAUUAGGAUAAUUUUAGUUAGUUUAUAUUUUAGUUGGUAUUUUUUAUAUGCUUUUGAAAACAAGAUAUUUUAUAUAAUUUUGGGAUUUUAUUAGACUUUUUUUUAUAUUAUUUGUAGUUU
Molecule: long non-coding RNA, 595 nt
Filed under: Helianthus annuus (common sunflower)
Lineage: Eukaryota; Viridiplantae; Streptophyta; Magnoliopsida; Asterales; Asteraceae
Description: hypothetical non coding rna
Source: RNAcentral